Non-coding RNA from Enterobacter sp. 638, 247 nucleotides. It matches the Rfam family "SgrS RNA". From Rfam's summary of the family: In sugar transport-related sRNA (SgrS) is induced under conditions of glucose phosphate stress in E.coli. This small RNA acts to negatively regulate the translation and stability of the ptsG mRNA, which encodes the major glucose transporter in E. coli. SgrS forms a specific ribonucleoprotein complex with RNAse E and the chaperone Hfq and acts by base pairing with the ptsG mRNA. NCBI's taxonomy places the organism in Bacteria, Pseudomonadati, Pseudomonadota, Gammaproteobacteria, Enterobacterales, Enterobacteriaceae. The record is from Rfam.
GAUGAAGCAAGGGAGUGAACGAUGAAGAGGUCAACCGCACGUCAGUUUUAUCAGCAGUACUUUUUAGCGACAAAAGGAGUGUCCUGGCUGGCCCGCCAGUGCGCCGAGCAGCGGCUGAAAAUGCUGGAAGAAUUGAUGCAGUGGGAGGUUACGCAAACGACUUCUGAACGCUGACUUGCCUCGAUCAUGUGUGACUGAGUAUUGGUGCUUAUCACCCGCCAGCAAAAUGUUUUUGCUGGCUUUUUUC